This 240-nucleotide unclassified non-coding RNA is filed under the name soil metagenome. RNAcentral's name for it is "partial contains 5.8S ribosomal RNA, internal transcribed spacer 2, and large subunit ribosomal RNA". The stretch from base 1 to 115 matches the Rfam family "5.8S ribosomal RNA", at positions 35 to 154 of the family's 154-position model. The record is from RNAcentral.
GAUGAAGAACGCAGUGAAACGCGAUAUUUCUUGUGAAUUGCAGAAGUGAAUCAUCAGUUUUUGAACGCACAUUGCACUUUGGGGUAUCCCCCAAAGUAUACUUGUUUGAGCGUUGUUUCUCUCUUGGAAUUGCUUUGCUCUUCUAAAAUUUCGAAUCAAAUUCGUUUGAAAAACAACACUAUUCAACCUCAGAUCAAGUAGGAUUACCCGCUAAACUUAAGCAUAUCAAUAAGCGGAGGA